This 73-nucleotide transfer RNA is filed under the name Trichonephila clavata. It matches the Rfam family "tRNA". Rfam says of the family: Transfer RNA (tRNA) molecules are approximately 80 nucleotides in length. Their secondary structure includes four short double-helical elements and three loops (D, anti-codon, and T loops). Lineage: Eukaryota; Metazoa; Arthropoda; Arachnida; Araneae; Nephilidae. The record is from Rfam by way of RNAcentral.
GUUCCUGCAGCGCAAUGGAUAGCGUGUUGGACUUCUAGUUCAAAGGCCGUGGGUUCGAAUCCAACCUGGGAUG